AGAUUGAACGCUGGCGGCAUGCUUUACACAUGCAAGUCGAACGGUAACAGGCCGCAAGGUGCUGACGAGUGGCGAACGGGUGAGUAAUGCAUCGGAACGUGCCCAGUCGUGGGGGAUAACGCAGCGAAAGCUGUGCUAAUACCGCAUACGAUCUAUGGAUGAAAGGCGGGGGACCGAAAGGCCUCGCGCGAUUGGAGCGGCCGAUGUCAGAUUAGCUAGGUUGGUAGGGGUAAAGGCCCACGAAGGCGACGAUCUGUAGCUGGUCUGAGAGGACGACCAGCCACACGUGGAACUGACGACGACGGUCCAGACUCCGUACGGGAGGCAGCAGGUGGGGUAAUUUUGGAACUAAGUCGGGGAC
RNAcentral lists this ribosomal RNA (361 nucleotides) under uncultured soil bacterium. RNAcentral describes it as "bacterial SSU rRNA". It matches the Rfam family "Bacterial small subunit ribosomal RNA", at positions 26 to 381 of the family's 1533-position model. The record is from RNAcentral.